Molecule: transfer RNA, 73 nt
Filed under: Paramuricea clavata
Lineage: Eukaryota; Metazoa; Cnidaria; Anthozoa; Malacalcyonacea; Plexauridae
Rfam family: tRNA
About the family: Transfer RNA (tRNA) molecules are approximately 80 nucleotides in length.
Source: Rfam by way of RNAcentral
GACCGCGUAGCUCAGUUGGAAGAGCAUUGGGCUAGUAUUCCAAAGGUCGUAGGUUCGAAUCCCACCGCGGCCG